AUCUGCAUAUGCAAUAAAACCGUGGUCUGCUCAAUUCAUCCGGGUUAAUCAUAAUUUUCUACUUGUGACAGCACAGUUCAAAAUGAAAUUCUUUCAAGUUAUCGGCUCCCUGAGCAUACUAGUCUCCAUUGACGAAUAAUGCAGCAUUAAAAGAACAAAGGAGAGGAGGAAUAAGGAUACUCAUGAAGGUUGUCCCUCGGCUUGAUUGCCAAGGCUUACCCACAACUGCUCGCAUACCCAGGAUCUGCAACCAUGAACCCGCAGGCCUAGCCUUCGUCCCCUGGCUCACGACGACACGAGCCGCCGCAACAUUGACCACCGUGGUGUAGCUUGGGUCAAUGUGAGGGACGGUGCCUUCUUCGGAGUUGAGUAGGGUAGGGUAGGUUGUGAAAAGGUAGGUAGGUAGGUAGGUAGGUAAGUAGGAAAUGAAUUCAGAUUUUAAAUAUGUAAAAAUGAUCCUAAAUUUUAAUUUUGGGAAAUGUUUCGACUAAUAAAUGCAUUGAUGUGUAAUAAAGUUCAACCAAACUUUGAAUAAAUGAACACAAAGCGAAUUAUUCAUGCAUGCCAACACACAAUUUUCUUUUCUUCUUCCUUGUUAAUUAGCAUAAUUGUUAGUAAUAUUCAAAUAAGUGACGCUAUUCUAAUGAAUAGAACUGUCCUAACAAGAAGUGACCUUUACAAGGACAAGUGUACGUAAAAUCGGCUUAUUUUAAAAAUAUUUCGGCAUAUCGGCAUUGUUUUCUGUAGAAAACCGUCAAUCGUCAAAGGCAUCAUAAAUUUGAAUGUAUGUAAAAAGAUUUGAAGGAAAUCGAGUCAUAAAUAAAAGUUUUAAAAGGAAUUAUGUAUGUACAUUUGUAAAAAUAUUCCUCUCUUUUGAAGAAUAUGCAUAUUUUGCUUAAAAAUCCAAAUUAAAAAGUGUGUUCCUCAGACAAAGUGUAAAAUAUAAUUACUUAUGUAUGUAUAAGCUUAAAAUGUAAAAGAAAUUGUUAAAAACCCGAUUUAUUGUACGUAUGUAUGUACUGAUUUACGAAAAGAGAAGCUGGAGGCAGCUUGAGACAAGUUUGCAAAAAUUUUCUAAGUUUUUUGAGAGGACUGGGGCAAUGUGAAACAGGUAAGAAAAAUUUGGGCAGAGUUCUGUUUCGAUCUGACCACUUUUUAAAAUUUUUCAGAAGUUUCUGUAAGAAAAUGGGGUAAUGUGAUACUACCCAAAAAAAAAUUUCGAAGGGUUUUGUUUAAAAAUUGCCUUUUUUCAUUUUUACUUUUCAAAAAAUUAAUCUCAAAAAACUCUCUCAAAAGUAUAGCGUCUUUUUGUUAAAUAAAAAUGUAGAAAAAAUGUUUACGGCACCUUUUUAUGAUUUUCAUCACGGCUUAGAAAGAUACGAACCAGAAAAUGGAGAAGACGGCGUGGUCCACUCGUUUGGGCAGAAUGAGACAAAGGGGCGUCCACGAAUUCGGACGAAUUUUCGGGCAGAGAGGGGUCCAAAAAAACGAUCUCAGGUCAUCACGUCUGUGGCGAUGGGUCUGGUGUCGAGGUACAACGAACAAACUCUGUCGGUCUAACCACGUCUGUGGGCGUGGAUGUGGUGUUGAGGUACAAAGAACGACCUCUGCCGGUCUAACCACGUCUGUGGGCGUUGGUCUUCUGGUGGGCGCUUGGUAGGUCAGAGGUGAGUGCAGUCGGGACGGACUGGGAUCAAUGUUCCGGAAGGUCACCACACAGUUUGGAGGCGUAAGGCCGUAUGUGCGAUCGGCAGCCCCACUUAUGAUGUGAGAUACACGAAAGUUAAUGUUUUAUCGGAAUUUAGCACUCGAAAUAAGUCACCGAAAUGUAAUACGCGUCCCCCGAGAGUUAUAGUUUUUAUAGAGCAACUGGUUAUCAAUUUAUUUUACGUAGCCGGAGGAUUUUACAUUUAUGUAUCAAGAAACCAAAAUAUAUUUAGAGGUUGUGGUAACUGUAGAAUUAUGGGGGACUUUAGGAUGGCAGUGGUGGAGAGAGGAGAUACGUCUUGGUAGACACCGGAACUCCGUCUGCCAGGAUUCUUGGAUGGAGGACAGUAUAUGUCCUUGCUGAAGGAGACGAUGUCCUUCAGUCGAUGUAUGGAUAAUAGUUCCCUCAGAAACUCAUAAGAAAAAGUUUAACAAUGAGACAUUUCAAGUCAGUCUUCGUAAAUCCGUAACCACUAAACUUAGGAACAUUUAUAAUGUAAUUUUUGCAUACAAACUUGCCAAGAUAUAUAGAUUUUGUAAACUUUCGUGGUUACGGACGUACGAAGGCUGACGUGACUUGCCUAACUAUUUUAUUACGUCACUUUCAGCCCUUUCCUGCCAUACCUGUACGUACUUAGAAAACACCCCAAGCUCUGACCUUAGCUGCAACAGUUUUCCAAGUUUAACCAAUACGACUACUUGUCCCGACGAAACUGGACUGAUUGAAGGUUCGGGACAACUACCUCGGGCACGACAGGCAGCCUGUGUGACCGCGUAUGGAUCAUAUGAGGGUAACAGAGUUGUCAUACGUAACUGCGGUGUAGUGGAAAGCGGCCACAUCGGCACCUGUAACAACUUUUACUGGUCCUCGUUCACCUUACCCAACGGGACGGUGGUCUACAUCCCCCCAUUUUUCAACGACGUCGCCUUAACUUCAUGCCUGUGUUCGGGUGAUAAUUGCAAUGUGCAUGAUGUCCAGGAAACAACCACCAAGCCUCCAUCCACCGGUCCGACGACCACCUUACCGCCAGGGUUGCACUGCUAUACCUGCUACUCAAUACCGGGCGUGGCUGGUUCAUUACCAGAAUGUGAGGACGGCGAAGCUUCUGCAAAUUCCUCCCUGCCUUCUAGAAAUUGUGGUGGUGAAGAAGACGAUUUGGUACGACAGUCCGACCCAAGUGUUGAACAAUUUGAUUAUUGAUGACUCCGCUGUUCCAAGCGAUAACCGUGAUGGAACUUUAAAAAUCAAAAAAGUCCUGUGUGGAAUGGGGCGAAGAGGUCGGGAGAAUGCGAGUUCCAUAGUCGUUCGAGGGUGUGGUUUGGUUGAUAGCAGUUACGACAACACGUGCAGCAAAAAAUUCACUUGGGUGGUCCGAAACCCGGAAGGAGUUGAACUCAUCAAGUUUCCAGCAAAUACUGACAGAGCUUUGAAUACCUGUUUUUGCUCCAGUAAUCAUUGCAAUGGGGCCACUGUGAUGGAGGUAAUGUUUGGCCUGGUAGUGAUGUGUGUUCUCUUGUCUGGGUUUUUUGGAUGAAAUAUGUUAAAUUUGAUCGUAUGUAGAGUAAGUAAAAUUAAUGUUUUAGACGUUUUGUUUUUGAAUAAAUCUUUUAUAGUUACAAUGUG
Molecule: RNA transcript, 3331 nt
Organism: Folsomia candida
Lineage: Eukaryota; Metazoa; Arthropoda; Collembola; Entomobryomorpha; Isotomidae
Exons: 4
Source: RefSeq, a predicted model, not a curated record